UACGGAGGAUGCAAGCGUUAUCCGGAAUUAUUGGGCGUAAAGCGUCCGUAGGUGGCUAAUCAAGUCUGCUGUCAAAGCGUGGAGCUUAACUCCAUAACGGCAGUGGAAACUGAUGAGCUAGAGUGCGAUAGGGGUAGCAGGAAUUCCCAGUGUAGCGGUGAAAUGCGUAGAGAUUGGGAAGAACACCAGCGGCGAAAGCGUGCUACUGGGUCUGCACUGACACUGAGGGACGAAAGCUAGGGGAGCGAAUGGG
RNAcentral lists this ribosomal RNA (253 nucleotides) under uncultured bacterium. RNAcentral describes it as "partial 16S ribosomal RNA". It matches the Rfam family "Bacterial small subunit ribosomal RNA", at positions 524 to 776 of the family's 1533-position model. The record is from RNAcentral.